This is a long non-coding RNA of Sinocyclocheilus anshuiensis, 104 nucleotides long. RefSeq lists it as uncharacterized. The transcript is spliced from 3 exons. The record is from RefSeq and is a predicted model, not a curated record. NCBI's taxonomy places the organism in Eukaryota, Metazoa, Chordata, Actinopteri, Cypriniformes, Cyprinidae.
ACCAACCCUACACCUAAACCUACCCCUUACAGAAAACAUUCUGCUAUUUCAGAUUUUCAACACACUCCAUUUUGUGUGAUAUAUAAGCUUUUUGUAAAGUGGGG